Molecule: long non-coding RNA, 580 nt
Organism: Photinus pyralis (common eastern firefly)
Lineage: Eukaryota; Metazoa; Arthropoda; Insecta; Coleoptera; Lampyridae
Exons: 2
Source: RefSeq, a predicted model, not a curated record
UAUUAGCAUUGAAUAUCUUGGAUAUUCAAUGAUAUUAGUAACGUACGUUCCGAAAGGUUAACUGACCGAACCAUGAAGACUGCCAUCUUGUAUUUUGCGAUAUUUUGCGCAUGUUCUGCAUUUAAAUUCAAAGUGCAGCCCGACAUGGCAAAAUCGUGGGCUGUGAUGGUAACUCCUUAUAUUAAGCAAUGUUCUGUUGAAGCUAAUGUGAGCGUAGAGGAAGGAUACGCCGGAAUUUUAAAUAUGAAUUAUCCGGACACCCACGAAUACUACUGUUUUGGCGAGUGCAUUUGGCGACGAUGGGGUUUCUACGAUCCAGAGACAAAAACAUUUAAUUAUCAGAAAAUCGAAGAGCAUAUAGCCGGAUUUUCGAAGAAGCUUACUAAACAAUGCGUCCAGAAAUACGAACAUAUUGAUGAUGACUGCGAAAUGGUGUUUUCUGUCAUAAAAUGUGGCUGUGAAAAGCUUUCUAAGCCACAUUAGUAACUAUAUCCUUACUGUUGGUACUUUAUAAUAGACCGCUCACCAUUUCAUUUUACUAGACCGGUUGUUAAUUUGGAAAUAUAGAAAUGCUUUUACA